RNAcentral lists this ribosomal RNA (468 nucleotides) under uncultured bacterium. RNAcentral describes it as "partial 16S ribosomal RNA". It matches the Rfam family "Bacterial small subunit ribosomal RNA", at positions 28 to 507 of the family's 1533-position model. The record is from RNAcentral.
GACGAACGCUGGCGGCGUGCUUAACACAUGCAAGUCGAACGGAAAGGCCCUGCUUUUGUGGGGUGCGCGAGUGGCGAACGGGUGUGUAACACGUGCGUAACCUGCCCGUGACUUUGGGAUAACUUCAGGAAACUGGGGCUAAUACCGGAUAGGAGCUCCUGCUGCAUGGGGGGGGAUGGAAAGUUUCGGCGGUUGGGGAUGGACUCGCGGCUUAUCAGCUUGUUGGUGUGGUAGUGGCUUACCGAGGCUUUGACGGGUAGCCGGCCUGAGAGGGUGACCGGCCACAUUGGGACUGAGAUACGGCCCAGCCUCCUACGCGAGGCAGCAGUGCGGAAUAUUGCACUAUGGGCGGAAGCCUGAUGCAGCACCGCCGCGUGCCGGAUGACGGCCUUCGGGUUGUAAUCCGCUUUCGCCUCUGACGAAGCGUUAGUGACGGUACUGGGUAAAGAAGCACCGGCUAACUACGUG